GACGAACGUUGGCGGCGUGCUUAACACAUGCAAGUCGAACGGAAAGGCCCUGCUUUUGUGGGUUGCUCGAGUGGCGAACGGGUGGGUAACCCGUGAGUAACCUGCCCUUGACUUUGGGAUAACUUCAGGAAACUGGGGCUAAUACCGGAUAGGAGCUCCUGCUGCAUGGUGGGGUUUGGAAAGUUUCGGCGGUUGGGGAUGGACUCGCGGCUUAUCAGCUUGUUGGUGGGGUAGUGGCUUACCAAGGCUUUGACGGGUAGCCGGCCUGAGAGGGUGACCGGCCACAUUGGGACUGAGAUACGGCCCAGACUCCUACGGGAGGCAGCAGUGGGGAAUAUUGCACAAUGGGCGGAAGCCUGAUGCAGCAACGCCGCGUGCGGGAUGACGGCCUUCGGGUUGUAAACCGCUUUCGCCUGUGACGAAGCGUGAGUGACGGUAAUGGGUAAAGAAGCACCGGCUAACUACGUG
RNAcentral lists this ribosomal RNA (468 nucleotides) under uncultured bacterium. Its description in RNAcentral is "partial 16S ribosomal RNA". It matches the Rfam family "Bacterial small subunit ribosomal RNA", at positions 28 to 507 of the family's 1533-position model. The record is from RNAcentral.